Molecule: ribosomal RNA, 427 nt
Filed under: uncultured beta proteobacterium
Lineage: Bacteria; Pseudomonadati; Pseudomonadota; Betaproteobacteria
Description: bacterial SSU rRNA
Rfam family: Bacterial small subunit ribosomal RNA
Source: RNAcentral
UGGGGAAUUUUGGACAAUGGGCGAAAGCCUGAUCCAGCCAUGCCGCGUGAGUGAAGAAGGCCUUCGGGUUGUAAAGCUCUUUUAGUCGGAAAGAAAGAGUUGCAAUGAAUAAUUGUGAUUUAUGACGGUACCGACAGAAAAAGCACCGGCUAACUACGUGCCAGCAGCCGCGGUAAUACGUAGGGUGCGAGCGUUAAUCGGAAUUACUGGGCGUAAAGGGUGCGCAGGCGGUCUUGCAAGUCAGAUGUGAAAGCCCCGGGCUUAACCUGGGAAUUGCGUUUGAAACUACAAGGCUAGAGUGCAGCAGAGGGGAGUGGAAUUCCAUGUGUAGCAGUGAAAUGCGUAGAGAUGUGGAAGAACACCUAUGGCGAAGGCAGCUCCCUGGGUUGACACUGACGCUCAUGCACGAAAGCGUGGGGAGCAAACA